Molecule: ribosomal RNA, 460 nt
Filed under: uncultured bacterium
Lineage: Bacteria
Description: partial 16S ribosomal RNA
Rfam family: Bacterial small subunit ribosomal RNA
Source: RNAcentral
CCUACGGGGGGCUGCAGUGAGGAAUAUUGGUCAAUGGGCUUACGCCUGAACCAGCCAAGUCGCGUGAGGGAAGACUGCUCUAUGGGUUGUAAACUUCUUUUGUCAGGGAGUAAUUGGCGCUACGUGUAGCGUUAUCGAGAGUACCUGAAGAAAAAGCAUCGGCAAACUCCGUGCCAGCACCCGCGGUAAUACGGAGGACGCGGGGGUUAUCGGGAUUUAUUGGGUUUAAAGGUUAGGUAGGGGGAAUGUCAAGUCAGCGGUAAAAUCGCGGGGCUCAACCUCGCUCCGCCGUUGAUACUGGCGUUCUUGAGUGGACGAGAGGUAUGCGGAAUGCGUGGUGUAGCGGUGAAAUGCAUAGAUAUCACGCAGAACUCCGAUUGCGAAGGCAGCAUACCGGCGCCCAACUGACGCUGAGGCACGAAAGCGUGGGUAUCGAACAGGAUUAGAUACCCUGGUAGUC